This 75-nucleotide transfer RNA is filed under the name Albula goreensis. Its description in RNAcentral is "tRNA-OTHER". Lineage: Eukaryota; Metazoa; Chordata; Actinopteri; Albuliformes; Albulidae. The record is from RNAcentral.
CAGGCUGUAGUCUAGUGGUUAAGGUACAUGACUGGGACCCCUGAGGUUGGUUGUUCAAGCCCCUGUCCAGCCACA